Molecule: ribosomal RNA, 436 nt
Filed under: uncultured bacterium
Lineage: Bacteria
Description: bacterial SSU rRNA
Rfam family: Bacterial small subunit ribosomal RNA
Source: RNAcentral
AGAUAAUAGAUACCCCGGUAGUCCAUGCCGUAAACGUUGGGGACUAGGUGUGGGUCUCAUUCCACGAGAUCCGUGCCGCAGCUAACGCAUUAAGUUCCCCGCCUGGGGAGUACGGCCGCAAGGCUAAAACUCAAAGGAAUUGACGGGGGCCCGCACAAGCGGCGGAGCAUGCGGAUUAAUUCGAUGCAACGCGAAGAACCUUACCAAGGCUCGACAUACACCGGAAACAUUCAGAGAUGGGUGCCCCGCAAGGUCGGUGUACAGGUGGUGCAUGGUUGUCGUCAGCUUGUGUCGUGAGAUGUUGGGUUAAGUCCCGCAACGAGCGCAACCCUCGUUCUAUGUUGCCAGCACGUGAUGGUGGGGACUCAUAGGAGACUGCCGGGGUCAACUCGGAGGAAGUGGGGAUGACGUCAAAUCAUCAUGCCCCUUAUGUCUU